Molecule: long non-coding RNA, 1375 nt
Organism: Populus trichocarpa (black cottonwood)
Lineage: Eukaryota; Viridiplantae; Streptophyta; Magnoliopsida; Malpighiales; Salicaceae
Exons: 3
Source: RefSeq, a predicted model, not a curated record
CAUAAUUUUAACCGUAAUUUUAACCAAACACAUUAAAUUUUAAAACAAACCUCAUGAAAAGCACUUUUUAUUAAACUAUUUUUUUUAAACCAAAACCACAUCAACAACAAUACCAAACAGGUUUUCCUUCUCCUUCUCAUUGGGGGCUUCAAAAAGCUUAACAGUCCCCACCGCCAUCACCAUGAGAGCUAAGUGGAAGAAGAAGCGUAUGAGGAGAUUGAAGAGGAAGCGUAGAAAGAUGAGGCAGAGAUCUAAGUAGAUUUUCUCAUUUCCGAUUACUUUCUUCUUCUUUUCUUCUAGUGUGUUUUAAAUCAAACGGUGGAGUAUGUAGUUUCCCCUUGUGUUUUGAUUAAUCGGAUGAUGGGCUUUAUCUAUGGAUAUAUUUAUUUGUUUUCUUUGAAUGUUGAUGGGUUUGGUUUCUUUCCUUGAUAAUUUCCUUUGGGAUUUUAUCUGUUUAAAUGGAAUUGGAGCUGGAUUGAUAAGAUUGUCUGCUUGUGAUUAUCAUUGUUUGCUCUUUUUUUUGUCGGGUUUUGUUUGUGGGUUAGAUAGUAGUGAAACCACAUUGUUUCGAUAUGGUUAUGACAUCUCGGUUUGGGUCAUUUGGUUUGACAAUACAAUCCUGGUUUGAUUUUGCGUUUUAUUGUGAUUUGUGCUGAGAGAUUAUGAAAUCUUGGUGUGGUUAUUUGGAUAUCAAGUUGAUAAGUAAUUGUGUGUCUCCUCUCAUUUCGUCAUCUCGUUAUGCUCAAGUUGAUUUUUGGCGAUGCAAAUCAUGGAAGUUUUGAGGUAAUUGGUGGGGUGUUGUAGUUUUGGGGAUGAUUAGGUAAUGGGAUUUUGUGUGUUAUUGUUGUCGUGCGCAAGCUGAUUUGCUGCGAUGCAAAUGGAUGGGUUGUGGAAGUUCUGGUGUGAUUAUUGGGUUAUUAUUGAUCUGGAGUUGAUAAGUAAUGGGAUGUUUCGCACUUUUUCGCACUAUUUAGUCAGGCGCAGGCUGAGCUUCAGCUUUGUAAAUGGUUAGCGGCUAGCAUUGCUUGAUUUUACUCUUGUUACUUGCAUUAUGUAUGAUUAUAAGCAGUUAGCAUUUGUUGCAUCGAACUGUAGGCUGUAGUUUUUUUAAUGUGAGAGUGCUUAUGUAACUGAAAAACUGUAUUGCUGUGCUUAGAUUCAGUAUCUUUCCUGCCAAAGAGGACUAUGUAUGUUUCGUUGCUGAUUGUAGAACAGAAGCAACUGAUAUGCAUCAGAUUAACCAAGUCCUUGUUAGUGUUAAUGAGGAUGUCUAGGAGUACGGCAUAUGAAGUGAUUGCAGGACUGCAACCAGUUCUGCAUUGCUCAUAGCUAAUGAGGCUUCGAAUUGCAGUCCCAGAUGUUUCAUCAAUAACAA